AGUGGGAUAGCUGGGUCAAAUGGCAGUUCCAUUCCAAGUUUUCUAAGAAAUCUCCACACUGCUUUCCAUGUUGGCUGCAACAAUUUGGAAUCCCACCAGCAAU
Molecule: microRNA precursor, 103 nt
Filed under: Marmota monax (woodchuck)
Lineage: Eukaryota; Metazoa; Chordata; Mammalia; Rodentia; Sciuridae
Source: RNAcentral